UUGCUCGCUUCGGCAGCACAUAGACUCAAAUUGGAAUAAUACAGAGAAGAUUAGUGUGGCUCCCGCUGAAGGAUGACAUGCAAAACUGUGAGGUAUUACAUAUUUAA
Molecule: small nuclear RNA, 107 nt
Filed under: Neotoma lepida (desert woodrat)
Lineage: Eukaryota; Metazoa; Chordata; Mammalia; Rodentia; Cricetidae
Source: RNAcentral